Molecule: ribosomal RNA, 2315 nt
Filed under: Escherichia coli B112
Lineage: Bacteria; Pseudomonadati; Pseudomonadota; Gammaproteobacteria; Enterobacterales; Enterobacteriaceae
Description: bacterial LSU rRNA
Rfam family: Bacterial large subunit ribosomal RNA
Source: RNAcentral
ACUUAUAUUCUGUAGCAAGGUUAACCGAAUAGGGGAGCCGAAGGGAAACCGAGUCUUAACCGGGCGUUAAGUUGCAGGGUAUAGACCCGAAACCCGGUGAUCUAGCCAUGGGCAGGUUGAAGGUUGGGUAACACUAACUGGAGGACCGAACCGACUAAUGUUGAAAAAUUAGCGGAUGACUUGUGGCUGGGGGUGAAAGGCCAAUCAAACCGGGAGAUAGCUGGUUCUCCCCGAAAGCUAUUUAGGUAGCGCCUCGUGAAUUCAUCUCCGGGGGUAGAGCACUGUUUCGGCAAGGGGGUCAUCCCGACUUACCAACCCGAUGCAAACUGCGAAUACCGGAGAAUGUUAUCACGGGAGACACACGGCGGGUGCUAACGUCCGUCGUGAAGAGGGAAACAACCCAGACCGCCAGCUAAGGUCCCAAAGUCAUGGUUAAGUGGGAAACGAUGUGGGAAGGCCCAGACAGCCAGGAUGUUGGCUUAGAAGCAGCCAUCAUUUAAAGAAAGCGUAAUAGCUCACUGGUCGAGUCGGCCUGCGCGGAAGAUGUAACGGGGCUAAACCAUGCACCGAAGCUGCGGCAGCGACACUGUGUGUUGUUGGGUAGGGGAGCGUUCUGUAAGCCUGUGAAGGUGUCUGUGAGGAUGCUGGAGGUAUCAGAAGUGCGAAUGCUGACAUAAGUAACGAUAAAGCGGGUGAAAAGCCCGCUCGCCGGAAGACCAAGGGUUCCUGUCCAACGUUAAUCGGGGCAGGGUGAGUCGACCCCUAAGGCGAGGCCGAAAGGCGUAGUCGAUGGGAAACAGGUUAAUAUUCCUGUACUUGGUGUUACUGCGAAGGGGGGACGGAGAAGGCUAUGUUGGCCGGGCGACGGUUGUCCCGGUUUAAGCGUGUAGGCUGGUUUUCCAGGCAAAUCCGGAAAAUCAAGGCUGAGGCGUGAUGACGAGGCACUACGGUGCUGAAGCAACAAAUGCCCUGCUUCCAGGAAAAGCCUCUAAGCAUCAGGUAACAUCAAAUCGUACCCCAAACCGACACAGGUGGUCAGGUAGAGAAUACCAAGGCGCUUGAGAGAACUCGGGUGAAGGAACUAGGCAAAAUGGUGCCGUAACUUCGGGAGAAGGCACGCUGAUAUGUAGGUGAAGUCCCUCGCGGAUGGAGCUGAAAUCAGUCGAAGAUACCAGCUGGCUGCAACUGUUUAUUAAAAACACAGCACUGUGCAAACACGAAAGUGGACGUAUACGGUGUGACGCCUGCCCGGUGCCGGAAGGUUAAUUGAUGGGGUCAGCGCAAGCGAAGCUCUUGAUCGAAGCCCCGGUAAACGGCGGCCGUAACUAUAACGGUCCUAAGGUAGCGAAAUUCCUUGUCGGGUAAGUUCCGACCUGCACGAAUGGCGUAAUGAUGGCCAGGCUGUCUCCACCCGAGACUCAGUGAAAUUGAACUCGCUGUGAAGAUGCAGUGUACCCGCGGCAAGACGGAAAGACCCCGUGAACCUUUACUAUAGCUUGACACUGAACAUUGAGCCUUGAUGUGUAGGAUAGGUGGGAGGCUUUGAAGUGUGGACGCCAGUCUGCAUGGAGCCGACCUUGAAAUACCACCCUUUAAUGUUUGAUGUUCUAACGUGGACCCGUGAUCCGGGUUGCGGACAGUGUCUGGUGGGUAGUUUGACUGGGGCGGUCUCCUCCUAAAGAGUAACGGAGGAGCACGAAGGUUGGCUAAUCCUGGUCGGACAUCAGGAGGUUAGUGCAAUGGCAUAAGCCAGCUUGACUGCGAGCGUGACGGCGCGAGCAGGUGCGAAAGCAGGUCAUAGUGAUCCGGUGGUUCUGAAUGGAAGGGCCAUCGCUCAACGGAUAAAAGGUACUCCGGGGAUAACAGGCUGAUACCGCCCAAGAGUUCAUAUCGACGGCGGUGUUUGGCACCUCGAUGUCGGCUCAUCACAUCCUGGGGCUGAAGUAGGUCCCAAGGGUAUGGCUGUUCGCCAUUUAAAGUGGUACGCGAGCUGGGUUUAGAACGUCGUGAGACAGUUCGGUCCCUAUCUGCCGUGGGCGCUGGAGAACUGAGGGGGGCUGCUCCUAGUACGAGAGGACCGGAGUGGACGCAUCACUGGUGUUCGGGUUGUCAUGCCAAUGGCACUGCCCGGUAGCUAAAUGCGGAAGAGAUAAGUGCUGAAAGCAUCUAAGCACGAAACUUGCCCCGAGAUGAGUUCUCCCUGACCCUUUAAGGGUCCUGAAGGAACGUUGAAGACGACGACGUUGAUAGGCCGGGUGUGUAAGCGCAGCGAUGCGUUGAGCUAACCGGUACUAAUGAACCGUGAGGCUUAACCU